GACGAACGCUGGCGGCGUGCCUAAUACAUGCAAGUCGAACGAACUCUGGUAUUGAUUGGUGCUUGCAUCAUGAUUUACAUUUGAGUGAGUGGCGAACUGGUGAGUAACACGUGGGAAACCUGCCCAGAAGCGGGGGAUAACACCUGGAAACAGAUGCUAAUACCGCAUAACAACUUGGACCGCAUGGUCCGAGUUUGAAAGAUGGCUUCGGCUAUCACUUUUGGAUGGUCCCGCGGCGUAUUAGCUAGAUGGUGAGGUAACGGCUCACCAUGGCAAUGAUACGUAGCCGACCUGAGAGGGUAAUCGGCCACAUUGGGACUGAGACACGGCCCAAACUCCUACGGGAGGCAGCAGUAGGGAAUCUUCCACAAUGGACGAAAGUCUGAUGGAGCAACGCCGCGUGAGUGAAGAAGGGUUUCGGCUCGUAAAACUCUGUUGUUAAAGAAGAACAUAUCUGAGAGUAACUGUUCAGGUAUUGACGGUAUUUAACCAGAAAGCCACGGCUAACUACGUGCCAGCAGCCGCGGUAAUACGUAGGUGGCAAGCGUUGUCCGGAUUUAUUGGGCGUAAAGCGAGCGCAGGCGGUUUUUUAAGUCUGAUGUGAAAGCCUUCGGCUCAACCGAAGAAGUGCAUCGGAAACUGGGAAACUUGAGUGCAGAAGAGGACAGUGGAACUCCAUGUGUAGCGGUGAAAUGCGUAGAUAUAUGGAGGAACACCAGUGGCGAAGGCGGCUGUCUGGUCUGUAACUGACGCUGAGGCUCGAAAGUAUGGGUAGCAAACAGGAUUAGAUACCCUGGUAGUCCAUACCGUAAACGAUGAAUGCUAAGUGUUGGAGGGUUUCUGCCCUUCAGUGCUGCAGCUAACGCAUUAAGCAUUCCGCCUGGGGAGUACGGCCGCAAGGCUGAAACUCAAAGGAAUUGACGGGGGCCCGCACAAGCGGUGGAGCAUGUGGUUUAAUUCGAAGCUACGCGAAGAACCUUACCAGGUCUUGACAUACUAUGCAAAUCUAAGAGAUUAGACGUUCCCUUCGGGGACAUGGAUACAGGUGGUGCAUGGUUGUCGUCAGCUCGUGUCGCGAGAUGUUGGGUUAAGUCCCGCAACGAGCGCAACCCUUAUUAUCAGUUGCCAGCAUUAAGUUGGGCACUCUGGUGAGACUGCCGGUGACAAACCGGAGGAAGGUGGGGAUGACGUCAAAUCAUCAUGCCCCUUAUGACCUGGGCUACACACGUGCUACAAUGGAUGGUACAACGAGUUGCGAACUCGCGAGAGUAAGCUAAUCUCUUAAAGCCAUUCUCAGUUCGGAUUGUAGGCUGCAACUCGCCUACAUGAAGUCGGAAUCGCUAGUAAUCGCGGAUCAGCAUGCCGCGGUGAAUACGUUCCCGGGCCUUGUACACACCGCCCGUCACACCAUGAGAGUUUGUAACACCCAAAGUCGGUGGGGUAACCUUUUAGGAACCAGCCGCCUAAGGUGGGACAGAUGAUUAGGGUG
This 1489-nucleotide ribosomal RNA is filed under the name Lactiplantibacillus plantarum subsp. plantarum. RNAcentral describes it as "bacterial SSU rRNA". It matches the Rfam family "Bacterial small subunit ribosomal RNA". The record is from RNAcentral. Lineage: Bacteria; Bacillati; Bacillota; Bacilli; Lactobacillales; Lactobacillaceae.